This 497-nucleotide ribosomal RNA is filed under the name uncultured bacterium. Its description in RNAcentral is "partial 16S ribosomal RNA". It matches the Rfam family "Bacterial small subunit ribosomal RNA", at positions 28 to 507 of the family's 1533-position model. The record is from RNAcentral.
GAUGAACGCUGGCGGCGUGCCUAAUACAUGCAAGUCGAGCGAACAGACGAGGAGCUUGCUCCUCUGACGUUAGCGGCGGACGGGUGAGUAACACGUGGAUAACCUACCUAUCAGACUGGGAUAACUUCGGGAAACCGGAGCUAAUACCGGAUAAUAUCUUGAACCGCAUGGUUCAAUAGUGAAAGACGGUUUUGCUGUCUCUUAUAGAUGGAUCCGCGCCGCAUUAGCUAGUUGGUACGGUAACGGCUUACCAAGGCAACGAUGCGUAGCCGACCUGAGAGGGUGAUCGGCCACACUGGAGCUGAGACACGGUCCAGACUCCUACGGGAGGCAGCAGUAGGGAAUCUGCCGCAAUGGGCGAAAGCCUGGCGGAGCAACGCCGCGUGAGUGAUGAAGGUCUUCGGAUCGUAAAACUCUGUUAUUAGGGAAGAACAAAUGUGUAAGUAACUAUGCACGUCUUGACGGUACCUAAUCAGAAAGCCACGGCUAACUACGUG